GGGUGUGUAGCUCAGUUGGUAGAGCAAUUGACUCUUAAUCAAUGGGUCCAGGGUUCGAGUCCCUGCACUCCCACCA
This 76-nucleotide transfer RNA is filed under the name Clostridiales bacterium GWB2_37_7. RNAcentral's name for it is "tRNA-Lys". It matches the Rfam family "tRNA". Rfam says of the family: Transfer RNA (tRNA) molecules are approximately 80 nucleotides in length. Their secondary structure includes four short double-helical elements and three loops (D, anti-codon, and T loops). The record is from RNAcentral. Lineage: Bacteria; Bacillati; Bacillota; Clostridia; Eubacteriales. RNAcentral also lists the same sequence under 1 other name.